CCUACGGGUGGCAGCAGUGAGGAAUAUUGGUCAAUGGACGAGAGUCUGAACCAGCCAAGUAGCGUGAAGGAUGACUGCCCUAUGGGUUGUAAACUUCUUUUAUAUGGGAAUAAAAUGUUCCACGUGUGGGAUUUUGUAUGUACCAUAUGAAUAAGGAUCGGCUAACUCCGUGCCAGCAGCCGCGGUAAUACGGAGGAUCUGAGCGUUAUCCGGAUUUAUUGGGUUUAAAGGGCGCGUAGGUGGAUUGUUAAGUCAGUUGUGAAAGUUUGCGGCUCAACCGUAAAAUUGCAGUUGAAACUGGCAGUCUUGAGUACAGUAGAGGUGGGCGGAAUGCGUGGUGUAGCGGUGAAAUGCUUAGAUAUCACGAAGAACUCCGAUUGCGAAGGCAGUUCACUGGACUGCAACUGACACUGAGGCUCGAAAGUGUGGGUAUCAAACAGGAUUAGAUACCCGAGUAGUC
Molecule: ribosomal RNA, 460 nt
Filed under: uncultured bacterium
Lineage: Bacteria
Description: partial 16S ribosomal RNA
Rfam family: Bacterial small subunit ribosomal RNA
Source: RNAcentral